CUGAUUGGAGCAAAAGGGGAAUAAAAGGCUGUGGAAGCCAGGAUGAGCUGGGAGUUGAAGGCGUGCAACUUGCAGAGUGUGCAAGUGUCUGUGUUUGCUGAUUGUGCUGUGGUCAACGCCCACUCCAGGUGGCCAGAGGUCAUCUUAAUGGAGACAACCACUUCAGCGAAGACGAUCCAGGCACUGAGAGGUCUGUUCAGCCAUUAUGGAGUACCAGAGGCGCUCCUCAGUGAUAAUGUGCCACAGUUCACAUCUGAGGAUUUUGCCACCUUUUUAAAGUCAAAUGGCAUGUGUGCUUGGCUCCUUUUCACCCGGCAACGAACAGUCUGGCUGAACGCUUUGUACUGACUUUUAAGCAUUCUCUUAGGGCAUCAAAGGUGAUGCCCUAAGAGAAUGCGUCAUCAGUUCAGAGGCGACUGGAUGCUUGUCUGCUUCAAUAUAGGAACACUCCACAUUCAACUACUCAGGAAGCACCAGCUAUGCUGUUUUUACACCGCAAGCUCCAAACUCGUCUGGAUUUGCUGAAACUGAGUGUGGCUGCAGUGGUGGAUCAGGCGCAAGAUUCCCAGCUUAGUUACCGAGCGGUGCACACAAAAUCUAGGUCGUUCAGCGUCGGCGAUCCAGUCCUGGUCCUGGAUUACCGGAAGGGGAGAAGUGGACACUGGGAACCGUUACAUCUCAGGCCACAUUUACACAUAGCCGGGUAUUUACAGAUACAAAUAUUUCUCCCCCUCCAUUUUCUCUGUAGGCGAACUGCAGGGGGUCCAGGAGGGGGUCGGUGAGGGACUUCAGGUGGGUCAGGACUAGCCGUUCAAAAGACUUCAUGACUACAGAGGUCAGGGCGACGGGCCUGUAGAUAUAUGCACACACGCCACCACUACAGUCAUAUUUCCCAAAUUCAGCACCAGUUCAGCACUCAGUCCCACCCAACUCAUCAGCUGACAAUAGAACACAGAAUGCAGGGCCACUCAGCACCAUCAACACAUAUUUUGACACGCACCUGUCGAAGGCAUGGGGCAGUUUUCAUUUACUCAAGCCCUUUUCAAGGAAGCUUAGUGAAUUUACCUCUGAUGGUUGAUGGUCUUGAAAAACAUUUUGUGUGUUAUACAAUACUGGCAAGUGUCAAUUACUUGUAUUGUUGUAUUGCCUGUAUUUUUUGUGGGGGGG
This is a long non-coding RNA of Gasterosteus aculeatus aculeatus (three-spined stickleback), 1167 nucleotides long. The record is from Ensembl. NCBI's taxonomy places the organism in Eukaryota, Metazoa, Chordata, Actinopteri, Perciformes, Gasterosteidae.